Bos taurus (domestic cattle) is the source of this 547-nucleotide long non-coding RNA. Lineage: Eukaryota; Metazoa; Chordata; Mammalia; Artiodactyla; Bovidae. The record is from Ensembl.
UUUUAAACUACAGAUUUAAUUGCCUCCUGACAAAGGACUGUUUAGUGUUUCCGCAUCUUCUGGUGGUACCCUUGUACACAUUUGCAGAGCAGUAGUCAAAGACGUAUGUGCAUCCCUCUGCUGACCCACGGAGUUUAUCUUUUGUGAGGCUCCCUCCUCUCCGAUAACCUGCUUCACACACUGAAGCCACCUUGGUGGGCUCAAACCCCAGUCUCUGUCUCCUCAACUGGAGAUCCCCAUCAUGCUCCUCAAACCAGAGCUGGAGGACUCCCCUGGAGCUCUGUCUUGGUCCUUGAUGAUGCCACUUCCAAAUCUGCAGCUGCAUUGAGCCAAGACCAAAGAUAAUAAAUGGGGAAAAAAUUAGAAUGCUACAUAUUCACAGUGAAAUACUGAGUCCAGUGUCCUAUAGAAGUCACAGGAGCAAAGAAAAGAUGACAUGAUGUUAUUACCUUCAUCUACUCCUCACCUCAUGUGAAUCAUUAUGACAGAAAACCUGAAAUAUAAUUCAAGGUGGUUUAAUAAAUUAUUAUAUUUUGGGGGCAAUUCA